ACAGGGGCGCCGAAAAGGCUGAGAUGGUUUGACCAGUCCCUUAUGACCUGAUCUAGGUAAUUCUAGCGUAGGGAGUCUGAACUUUU
This 86-nucleotide non-coding RNA is filed under the name Faecalicoccus acidiformans. RNAcentral describes it as "TPP riboswitch (THI element)". The stretch from base 1 to 76 matches the Rfam family "TPP riboswitch aptamer (THI element)", at positions 9 to 90 of the family's 105-position model. From Rfam's summary of the family: Vitamin B(1) in its active form thiamin pyrophosphate (TPP) is an essential coenzyme that is synthesised by coupling of pyrimidine and thiazole moieties in bacteria. The previously detected thiamin-regulatory element, thi box was extended, resulting in a new, highly conserved RNA secondary structure, the THI element, which is widely distributed in eubacteria and also occurs in some archaea. Analysis of operon structures identified a large number of new candidate thiamin-regulated genes, mostly transporters, in various prokaryotic organisms. The record is from RNAcentral. Lineage: Bacteria; Bacillati; Bacillota; Erysipelotrichia; Erysipelotrichales; Erysipelotrichaceae.